CCUACGGGAGGCUGCAGUGGGGAAUAUUGGACAAUGGGGGCAACCCUGAUCCAGCCAUGCCGCGUGUGUGAAGAAGGCCCUCGGGUUGUAAAGCACUUUCAGUGAGGAAGAACGCCUGGUGGUUAAUACCCAUCAGGAAAGACAUCACUCACAGAAGAAGCACCGGCUAACUCCGUGCCAGCAGCCGCGGUAAUACGGAGGGUGCGAGCGUUAAUCGGAAUUACUGGGCGUAAAGCGCGCGUAGGUGGCUUGAUAAGCCGGUUGUGAAAGCCCCGGGCUCAACCUGGGAACGGCAUCCGGAACUGUCGAGCUAGAGUGCAGGAGAGGAAGGUAGAAUUCCCGGUGUAGCGGUGAAAUGCGUAGAGAUCGGGAGGAAUACCAGUGGCGAAGGCGGCCUUCUGGACUGACACUGACACUGAGGUGCGAAAGCGUGGGUAGCAAACAGGAUUAGAUACCCUGGUAGUC
RNAcentral lists this ribosomal RNA (465 nucleotides) under Vreelandella stevensii. RNAcentral describes it as "partial 16S ribosomal RNA". It matches the Rfam family "Bacterial small subunit ribosomal RNA", at positions 338 to 795 of the family's 1533-position model. Lineage: Bacteria; Pseudomonadati; Pseudomonadota; Gammaproteobacteria; Oceanospirillales; Halomonadaceae. The record is from RNAcentral.